RNAcentral lists this transfer RNA (31 nucleotides) under Trianthema crystallinum. RNAcentral's name for it is "partial transfer RNA-Leu". The record is from RNAcentral. Lineage: Eukaryota; Viridiplantae; Streptophyta; Magnoliopsida; Caryophyllales; Aizoaceae.
GAGGAAAAUCCGUCGACUUUAAAAUCGUGAG